CGAAGCGUGCGAUUGGAUUGCACGUCUAAGCAGUAAGGCUGAGUAUUAGGCAAAUCCGGUACUCAUUAAGGCUGAGCUGUGAUGGGGAGAAGACAUUGUGUCUUCGAGUCGUUGAUUUCACACUGCCGAGAAAAGCCUCUAGAUAGAAAAUAGGUGCCCGUACCGCAAACCGACACAGGUAGUCAAGAUGAGAAUUCUAAGGUGAGCGAGCGAACUCUCGUUAAGGAACUCGGCAAAAUGACCCCGUAACUUCGGGAGAAGGGGUGCUCUUUAGGGUUAACGCCCAGAAGAGCCGCAGUGAAUAGGCCCAAGCGACUGUUUAUCAAAAACACAGGUCUCUGCUAAACCGUAAGGUGAUGUAUAGGGGCUGACGCCUGCCCGGUGCUGGAAGGUUAAGAGGAGUGGUUAGCUUCUGCGAAGCUACGAAUCGAAGCCCCAGUAAACGGCGGCCGUAACUAUAACGGUCCUAAGGUAGCGAAAUUCCUUGUCGGGUAAGUUCCGACCCGCACGAAAGGCGUAACGAUUUGGGCACUGUCUCAACGAGAGACUCGGUGAAAUCAUAGUACCUGUGAAGAUGCAGGUUACCCGCGACAGGACGGAAAGACCCCGUGGAGCUUUACUGUAGCCUGAUAUUGAAAUUCGGCACAGCUUGUACAG
RNAcentral lists this ribosomal RNA (657 nucleotides) under Staphylococcus aureus. RNAcentral's name for it is "partial 23S ribosomal RNA". It matches the Rfam family "Bacterial large subunit ribosomal RNA", at positions 1487 to 2141 of the family's 2925-position model. Lineage: Bacteria; Bacillati; Bacillota; Bacilli; Caryophanales; Staphylococcaceae. The record is from RNAcentral.